GAUGAACGCUGGCGGCGUGCUUAACACAUGCAAGUCGAACGAAGCACUUUAUUUGAUUUCCUUCGGGACUGAUUAUUUUGUGACUGAGUGGCGGACGGGUGAGUAACGCGUGGGUAACCUGCCUUGUACAGGGGGAUAACAGUUGGAAACGGCUGCUAAUACCGCAUAAGCGCACAGCAUCGCAUGAUGCAGUGUGAAAAACUCCGGUGGUAUAGGAUGGACCCGCGUUGGAUUAGCUAGUUGGUGAGGUAACGGCCCACCAAGGCGACGAUCCAUAGCCGACCUGAGAGGGUGACCGGCCACAUUGGGACUGAGACACGGCCCAAACUCCUACGGGAGGCAGCAGUGGGGAAUAUUGCACAAUGGGCGAAAGCCUGAUGCAGCGACGCCGCGUGAGCGAAGAAGUAUUUCGGUAUGUAAAGCUCUAUCAGCAGGGAAGAUAAUGACGGUACCUGACUAAGAAGUACCGGCUAAAUACGUG
RNAcentral lists this ribosomal RNA (481 nucleotides) under uncultured bacterium. Its description in RNAcentral is "partial 16S ribosomal RNA". It matches the Rfam family "Bacterial small subunit ribosomal RNA", at positions 28 to 507 of the family's 1533-position model. The record is from RNAcentral.